This 65-nucleotide non-coding RNA is filed under the name Streptomyces sp. CC53. Its description in RNAcentral is "Streptomyces RNA 2736". It matches the Rfam family "Streptomyces RNA 2736". Rfam says of the family: Identified by deep sequencing of transcriptome at the end of exponential growth phase. Appears smaller on northern blot than sequencing transcript. This indicates processing step. The record is from Rfam by way of RNAcentral. Lineage: Bacteria; Bacillati; Actinomycetota; Actinomycetes; Kitasatosporales; Streptomycetaceae.
CGCCCGACCGGAUCCCGUGGGGGGAAUCCGUUGUCGGGGACAUGGGAAGCGCCCCGCUCGUCGAC